Molecule: long non-coding RNA, 1222 nt
Organism: Homo sapiens (human)
Lineage: Eukaryota; Metazoa; Chordata; Mammalia; Primates; Hominidae
Source: Ensembl
GCCGCUGCAAAUACCAAAAGCUGUCCUCAUUGAGUCAUCCCUCCCAGAGCAGGAAGAGCAGAGGUUCUGGGAAACAACCCCAAGGAGAGAGACAGGGCAUUUAUAAAACAGCAUGUAAGCAUCUCUGCAGUUGCUGUCCCCAGAGCCCACUUCCUGGAUAUUGCCAGCUGCCUGGACCAACCUUUCCGAAAGAUCAGCCAGGUCACAGUGAGGGUCAAAGCAGGAGGCCACUGGAGGCUCCAAGGGCUCUGAAAUGUUGAGAACUUCCCUGCAGGUACCAGCGAAGAGGGCAAGAACACAGCACUACUUCCUUGGAUACUGUUUCCCUCCUCAGAGGGGUUUUCUGAGCUGCCCUGGGUCCUGUGAGGAAGGUCACUUGCUGAGGUACUGCAUGUGAAGACUUUGACAUUUGAAUUUUGAGGGGGCCACCGUUUAACCUGAACCACCAAGGACAGAGCCAAAGACCCUGGGUGACAGGCCCAGAACAGGACCUGGUGGAGGCUCUUCUUUAGGGGAGAGAGGGAAAUGGGAGCCACCACUGGCAGAGCCUGAAGGCAGGGCAGCCAGAAAGAAGCUGUGGGAGUCCCCACCAUGGAAGACCCUGCCGAGCAUCCUGUGUCUCCUGAAGCAGACCCUGACAUGAGGACUGGGGGCACGUGUUUAUUAAGGGCGAUCCCCGGAAGGAGGAGAUAACCAGGCAGAAGUCCUAGCAGAGUAUGCCCACGCUGGUUAGUGCUGCUGCAAAGAUGAGCCGAAGACCAUGAGAGACCUCCAGGUGGUCCUUCUGGGGAGAAGAAAUGGGUUUUGGCCCCAAAUCCUUCUGCUGCAUUUUUCCCCUAUCCCUGGGAAGCCAUGAGACCUCAAACCUGUGUUCCCAAGGAGGCGAGCUGCUGUUCCCAGGUGAUGAUAUGAUGUGCUUGGGGAAAGUAAGUGGCUGCCAGACAUGGCUGAGAGCUGUUGUCACUGCCGUCAAGUGCAUGUCUCCAAGCCAUAUCACACGGCGUCCCUCGAUGUGAGGCCACAUGGCAAGUGGGCCGUGGAUCUCCCUCUGCCCUUUGCAAGCACGUAAGACAGCAGAUUUUGCAGAUACCUUGUGGCGCAGGGGAAUUUCCUUUGGCCAGGUCUGAAGAAAUAAAGCAGCAGGCACCGAGAACAAAGCCAAGGCUUUCAAAAGACAAGGAGCCAAAAAACUUACUCAAAAUAAAAGUAGUUUUAAAAUGUC